This is a non-coding RNA of Pocillopora verrucosa, 292 nucleotides long. Lineage: Eukaryota; Metazoa; Cnidaria; Anthozoa; Scleractinia; Pocilloporidae. The record is from RefSeq and is a predicted model, not a curated record.
CGCUGACUGAAGUACAGGAGAUUUUCAAAGAUGGCGCGAAAUGUCGGAGAGUGAUGUGAACACAUCACUAUACUAAAAUGGAUAUUCGAUCGUUCUUCAGCCCUACUGGAAAGACAGCGAAGCAAGGCGCUUCGAAAGUAGAAAAUAAGCGCGGCAAAGAUUCUACUGCGAAGUCAUUAACGAAACAAGAUGUAGGAAAGCGCCGAACGAAAACCAAGGGUUUAUCAAGUAGUGAAGAUGAUGACAUUGCCCGGAAACAAAAACCAAAAGAAAAUCAGAAGAAGAAGAAGAA